Molecule: ribosomal RNA, 487 nt
Filed under: uncultured bacterium
Lineage: Bacteria
Description: bacterial SSU rRNA
Rfam family: Bacterial small subunit ribosomal RNA
Source: RNAcentral
GACGAACGCUGGCGGCGUGCCUAACACAUGCAAGUCGAACGGAGAUGCCGAGGUAGCUUGCUACAUUGGUAUCUUAGUGGCGGACGGGUGAGUAACACGUGGGCAACCUGCCCCAAAGAGGGGGAUAACACCGAGAAAUCGGUGCUAAUACCGCAUAAUAUUAGAGCUUCGCAUGGAGCUUUAAUCAAAGGAGCAAUCCGCUUUGGGAUGGGCCCGCGUCUGAUUAGCUAGUUGGUGAGGUAAUGGCUCACCAAGGCGACGAUCAGUAGCCGAUCUGAGAGGAUGACCGGCCACACUGGAACUGAGACACGGUCCAGACUCCUACGGGAGGCAGCAGUGGGGAAUAUUGCACAAUGGGGGAAACCCUGAUGCAGCAACGCCGCGUGGAGGAAGAAGGUCUUCGGAUUGUAAACUCCUGUCUUCUGGGACGAAGUAUGACGGUACCAGAGGAGGAAGCCACGGCUAACUACGUGCCAGCAGCCGCGGU